AAUCAAUAUUGGCAAACCCGGUGAAAGCCGGGGACGCAAAGCCACGGGUCUAAAGCAUGAACAGUGCUAUGACGGCUGGGCUGCCGAA
This 88-nucleotide non-coding RNA is filed under the name Bacillus sp. (in: firmicutes). RNAcentral describes it as "Bacillus sp. c-di-GMP sequence". It matches the Rfam family "c-di-GMP-I riboswitch aptamer". Rfam says of the family: GEMM was predicted in a large-scale screen for bacterial structured RNA regulatory elements. Genes associated with GEMM are involved in a diverse array of functions, including chemotaxis regulation, signal transduction, secretion and chitin. The record is from RNAcentral. RNAcentral also lists the same sequence under 1 other name. Lineage: Bacteria; Bacillati; Bacillota; Bacilli; Caryophanales; Bacillaceae.